GGUUAAGCGACUAAGCGUACACGGUGGAUGCCCUGGCAGUCAGAGGCGAUGAAGGACGUGCUAAUCUGCGAUAAGCGUCGGUAAGGUGAUAUGAACCGUUAUAACCGGCGAUUUCCGAAUGGGGAAACCCAGUGUGAUUCGUCACACUAUCAUUAACUGAAUCCAUAGGUUAAUGAGGCGAACCGGGGAACUGAAACAUCUAAGUACCCCGAGGAAAAGAAAUCAACCGAGAUUCCCCCAGUAGCGGCGAGCGAACGGGGAGCAGCCCAGAGCCUGAAUCAGUGUGUGUGUUAGUGGAAGCGUCUGGAAAGGCGUGCGAUACAGGGUGACAGCCCCGUACACAAAAAUGCACAUACUGUGAGCUCGAUGAGUAGGGCGGGACACGUGGUAUCCUGUCUGAAUAUGGGGGACCAUCCUCCAAGGCUAAAUACUCCUGACUGACCGAUAGUGAACCAGUACCGUGAGGGAAAGGCGAAAAGAACCCCGGCGAGGGGAGUGAAAAAGAACCUGAAACCGUGUACGUACAAGCAGUGGGAGCACGCUUAGGCGUGUGACUGCGUACCUUUUGUAUAAUGGGUCAGCGACUUAUAUUCUGUAGCAAGGUUAACCGAAUAGGGGAGCCGAAGGGAAACCGAGUCUUAACUGGGCGUUAAGUUGCAGGGUAUAGACCCGAAACCCGGUGAUCUAGCCAUGGGCAGGUUGAAGGUUGGGUAACACUAACUGGAGGACCGAACCGACUAAUGUUGAAAAAUUAGCGGAUGACUUGUGGCUGGGGGUGAAAGGCCAAUCAAACCGGGAGAUAGCUGGUUCUCCCCGAAAGCUAUUUAGGUAGCGCCUCGUGAAUUCAUCUCCGGGGGUAGAGCACUGUUUCGGCAAGGGGGUCAUCCCGACUUACCAACCCGAUGCAAACUGCGAAUACCGGAGAAUGUUAUCACGGGAGACACACGGCGGGUGCUAACGUCCGUCGUGAAGAGGGAAACAACCCAGACCGCCAGCUAAGGUCCCAAAGUCAUGGUUAAGUGGGAAACGAUGUGGGAAGGCCCAGACAGCCAGGAUGUUGGCUUAGAAGCAGCCAUCAUUUAAAGAAAGCGUAAUAGCUCACUGGUCGAGUCGGCCUGCGCGGAAGAUGUAACGGGGCUAAACCAUGCACCGAAGCUGCGGCAGCGACGCUUAUGCGUUGUUGGGUAGGGGAGCGUUCUGUAAGCCUGUGAAGGUGUGCUGUGAGGUAUGCUGGAGGUAUCAGAAGUGCGAAUGCUGACAUAAGUAACGAUAAAGCGGGUGAAAAGCCCGCUCGCCGGAAGACCAAGGGUUCCUGUCCAACGUUAAUCGGGGCAGGGUGAGUCGACCCCUAAGGCGAGGCCGAAAGGCGUAGUCGAUGGGAAACAGGUUAAUAUUCCUGUACUUGGUGUUACUGCGAAGGGGGGACGGAGAAGGCUAUGUUGGCCGGGCGACGGUUGUCCCGGUUUAAGCGUGUAGGCUGGUUUUCCAGGCAAAUCCGGAAAAUCAAGGCCGAGGCGUGAUGACGAGGCACUACGGUGCUGAAGCAACAAAUGCCCUGCUUCCAGGAAAAGCCUCUAAGCAUCAGGUAACAUCAAAUCGUACCCCAAACCGACACAGGUGGUCAGGUAGAGAAUACCAAGGCGCUUGAGAGAACUCGGGUGAAGGAACUAGGCAAAAUGGUGCCGUAACUUCGGGAGAAGGCACGCUGAUACGUAGGUGAAGCGACUUGCUCGUGGAGCUGAAAUCAGUCGAAGAUACCAGCUGGCUGCAACUGUUUAUUAAAAACACAGCACUGUGCAAACACGAAAGUGGACGUAUACGGUGUGACGCCUGCCCGGUGCCGGAAGGUUAAUUGAUGGGGUUAGCGCAAGCGAAGCUCUUGAUCGAAGCCCCGGUAAACGGCGGCCGUAACUAUAACGGUCCUAAGGUAGCGAAAUUCCUUGUCGGGUAAGUUCCGACCUGCACGAAUGGCGUAAUGAUGGCCAGGCUGUCUCCACCCGAGACUCAGUGAAAUUGAACUCGCUGUGAAGAUGCAGUGUACCCGCGGCAAGACGGAAAGACCCCGUGAACCUUUACUAUAGCUUGACACUGAACAUUGAGCCUUGAUGUGUAGGAUAGGUGGGAGGCUUUGAAGUGUGGACGCCAGUCUGCAUGGAGCCGACCUUGAAAUACCACCCUUUAAUGUUUGAUGUUCUAACGUGGACCCGUGAUCCGGGUUGCGGACAGUGUCUGGUGGGUAGUUUGACUGGGGCGGUCUCCUCCUAAAGAGUAACGGAGGAGCACGAAGGUUGGCUAAUCCUGGUCGGACAUCAGGAGGUUAGUGCAAUGGCAUAAGCCAGCUUGACUGCGAGCGUGACGGCGCGAGCAGGUGCGAAAGCAGGUCAUAGUGAUCCGGUGGUUCUGAAUGGAAGGGCCAUCGCUCAACGGAUAAAAGGUACUCCGGGGAUAACAGGCUGAUACCGCCCAAGAGUUCAUAUCGACGGCGGUGUUUGGCACCUCGAUGUCGGCUCAUCACAUCCUGGGGCUGAAGUAGGUCCCAAGGGUAUGGCUGUUCGCCAUUUAAAGUGGUACGCGAGCUGGGUUUAGAACGUCGUGAGACAGUUCGGUCCCUAUCUGCCGUGGGCGCUGGAGAACUGAGGGGGGCUGCUCCUAGUACGAGAGGACCGGAGUGGACGCAUCACUGGUGUUCGGGUUGUCAUGCCAAUGGCACUGCCCGGUAGCUAAAUGCGGAAGAGAUAAGUGCUGAAAGCAUCUAAGCACGAAACUUGCCCCGAGAUGAGUUCUCCCUGACCCUUUAAGGGUCCUGAAGGAACGUUGAAGACGACGACGUUGAUAGGCCGGGUGUGUAAGCGCAGCGAUGCGUUGAGCUAACCGGUACUAAUGAACCGUGAGGCUUAACCUU
RNAcentral lists this ribosomal RNA (2902 nucleotides) under Shigella flexneri. RNAcentral describes it as "23S ribosomal RNA". It matches the Rfam family "Bacterial large subunit ribosomal RNA". Lineage: Bacteria; Pseudomonadati; Pseudomonadota; Gammaproteobacteria; Enterobacterales; Enterobacteriaceae. The record is from RNAcentral.